CCCAAGGAAAGCGUGGGCGCCGGGACAGCUCUGCUCUGCAGCAACAGGGAGGGAUUCGGUGUUGUGGCACAGUGCCUGCGCCUCUCUUGGCCUGCAGUCAUUAAUCAGGUGGCCAGACACAGCCUCGAUUGCUGAAGGCGCAAAGUCAUGGCCCCUCCAAGGUCAUUCAAGGCUCUGGAAAGUGAGUCAACUGAUAGCGUGCAGCAGCUCAUGGCUUAUUAGGCAGCAACACUGUGCACACCCCAGAGCUUCCAUUUUCCAACCCAGCCAGUGGGAAGUGUGUUCUCGAAGCCACAAAGAACCCACGCAGAGAGCGCCGCAGAGCAGAAGGAAACCAGCGGGUAGCAGAGAUAACUGCGUCCAGAGAGGGAGUGGGAUCUGCCCAGAGCUGCCCAGCAGACCAGCAGAACCCAGUUUGAGAAUGUCAUGUUUUGAUCAUCCCCUCUGCGGGCCCCCACACAACACACGCCCACUGGCCUUAGGUGUCCCAGGAGGGGCCCUGGAUGUGGCUGCUGCUUUACCUCGAAUGUAGAGACGCUCAGUAGGAGUGGACAAUAGACUCGGGGAGGCAAGAUAAACUGCACAUCAAUUAUGAUACCCACUUUCCUGUCCAUGCGGAGCUCCCAGAGUAUGGACCUGGACAUCUCACAGCCUGCCAAAGCUGACUGGGCUAAGGAUGGACAUGUGACCCCACAGACCAAUCACAGUCUUUCUUCUGGGAAUCUGGAAUUGAAAUGACAACCACAGAGAUCAGUGGUUAUUUGGAGUUGAGGCACAUGGAGGUGGACACUGCAGGGUGAUGUUCUACCAACUCCUUCUUCUGAGGUCUCCAGAGCUACUUAGGCCUGGAGGUUCUGCUCCUCCAUUAAUUCUGUAGAUGCCCCAGGAUCU
Molecule: long non-coding RNA, 891 nt
Organism: Heterocephalus glaber (naked mole-rat)
Lineage: Eukaryota; Metazoa; Chordata; Mammalia; Rodentia; Bathyergidae
Source: Ensembl